This 468-nucleotide ribosomal RNA is filed under the name uncultured bacterium. RNAcentral describes it as "bacterial SSU rRNA". It matches the Rfam family "Bacterial small subunit ribosomal RNA", at positions 328 to 794 of the family's 1533-position model. The record is from RNAcentral.
AAUCCAGACUCCUACGGGAGGCAGCAGUGAGGAAUAUUGGUCAAUGGCCGGAAGGCUGAACCAGCCAAGUCGCGUGAGGGAAUAAGGCCCUAUGGGUCGUAAACCUCUUUUGUCGGGGAGCAAAGAGAGUCACGUGUGACUCAUUGAGAGUACCCGAAGAAAAAGCAUCGGCUAACUCCGUGCCAGCAGCCGCGGUAAUACGGAGGAUGCGAGCGUUAUCCGGAUUUAUUGGGUUUAAAGGGUGCGCAGGCGGAGGUGCAAGUCAGCGGUCAAAUUGCGGGGCUCAACCCCGUACUGCCGUUGAAACUGCAUCCCUUGAGUGCGCGAGAAGUAUGCGGAAUGCGUGGUGUAGCGGUGAAAUGCAUAGAUAUCACGCAGAACUCCGAUUGCGGAGGCAGCAUACCGGCGCCCAACUGACGCUGAAGCACGAAAGCGUGGGUAUCGAACAGGAUUAGAUACCCCAGUACU